This is a non-coding RNA of Canis lupus familiaris (dog), 143 nucleotides long. NCBI's taxonomy places the organism in Eukaryota, Metazoa, Chordata, Mammalia, Carnivora, Canidae. The record is from RefSeq and is marked provisional.
UGGUUCGUGCCGCGGGCGCGCUCAUAAGGCCCCUCCUCCCUACCCAGUUUCGGGGUCGCCUGGUAAGGUAAAAUCCUUGAACCCACUCGUUCCUGUCGCUGGGAGGGCGUCCCUUUCGCCUGUCACAGCGUCGCCGUGGGACG